GUGCCAGCAGCCGCGGUAAUACGAACUGUGCGAACGUUAUUCGGAAUCACUGGGCUUAAAGGGUGCGUAGGCGGUUAUCUAAGUCACGUGUGAAAUCUUCCGGCUCAACCGGAAAACUGCGCGUGAUACUGGAUGACUUGAGUGAGGUAGGGGUGUGUGGAACUUCCGGUGGAGCGGUGAAAUGUGUAGAGAUCGGAAGGAACGCCAGCAGCGAAAGCGGCACACUGGGCCUUUUCUGACGCUGAGGCACGAAAGCUAGGGGAGUGAACGGGAUUAGAUACCCCGGUAAUCCUAGCCGUAAACACUGAACACUGGAGGAAGGGGGUUUCGGCCUUCUUUCUCGUAGCGAAAGCGUUAAGUGUUCCGCCUGGGGAGUAUGGGCGCAAGGCUGAAACUCAAAUGAAUUGACGG
RNAcentral lists this ribosomal RNA (411 nucleotides) under uncultured bacterium. RNAcentral's name for it is "bacterial SSU rRNA". It matches the Rfam family "Bacterial small subunit ribosomal RNA", at positions 505 to 916 of the family's 1533-position model. The record is from RNAcentral.